RNAcentral lists this non-coding RNA (24 nucleotides) under Arabidopsis thaliana (thale cress). The record is from RNAcentral. Lineage: Eukaryota; Viridiplantae; Streptophyta; Magnoliopsida; Brassicales; Brassicaceae.
UCAAACUUUUAUGCCAUUUGCGUC